GCGUCUGUCGUAUAAUGGCUAUUACCCCAGCCUUCCAAGCUGAUGACGUCGGUUCGAUUCCGAUCAGACGCU
Spirochaetaceae bacterium 4572_7 is the source of this 72-nucleotide non-coding RNA. NCBI's taxonomy places the organism in Bacteria, Pseudomonadati, Spirochaetota, Spirochaetia, Spirochaetales, Spirochaetaceae. The record is from Rfam.